This 612-nucleotide ribosomal RNA is filed under the name uncultured bacterium. RNAcentral describes it as "bacterial SSU rRNA". It matches the Rfam family "Bacterial small subunit ribosomal RNA", at positions 338 to 945 of the family's 1533-position model. The record is from RNAcentral.
CCUACGGGAGGCAGCAGUGGGGAAUUUUGGACAAUGGGCGAAAGCCUGAUCCAGCAAUGCCGCGUGAGUGAAGAAGGCCUUCGGGUUGUAAAGCUCUUUUGUCAGGGAAGAAACGGUGUGGGCUAAUAUCCCGCACUAAUGACGGUACCUGAAGAAUAAGCACCGGCUAACUACGUGCCAGCAGCCGCGGUAAUACGUAGGGUGCAAGCGUUAAUCGGAAUUACUGGGCGUAAAGCGUGCGCAGGCGGUUUUGUAAGUUUGUCGUGAAAGCCCCGGGCUCAACCUGGGAAUUGCGAUGAAGACUGCAAGGCUUGAAUCUGGCAGAGGGGGGUAGAAUUCCACGUGUAGCAGUGAAAUGCGUAGAGAUGUGGAGGAACACCGAUGGCGAAGGCAGCCCCCUGGGUCAAGAUUGACGCUCACGCACGAAAGCGUGGGGAGCAAACAGGAUUAGAUACCCUGGUAGUCCACGCCCUAAACGAUGUCUACUAGUUGUCGGGUUUUAAUUAACUUGGUAACGCAGCUAACGCGUGAAGUAGACCGCCUGGGGAAUCGGUCGCAAGNUUAAACUAAAUGAAUUGACCGGNNGAGAGNGCGAGACGACGACGAGGAGAG